CUUUCGCCAGGCAUUUUCCCUCACUCAUAAGCCUAAAACCCAAGCUAGCGCCAAAAUCUUCUGAAAAUUGAUCAAAAAAUCUAAGAAAAAUCCACUAUUUGGCGUUAAUUUGUUUUCUCCGGAAUCGGAGCAACUUGUGAGGUGCGACGGAAAAGCGGAAAAGUGGAAAAGUGGAACACACACACACACAGUAGCACACGUGCUGGAGCUUAAAGAGCCCCCGUAAAUUAUGCAGAGCCACAGAGGAAGAAAGGAGCCGGAGUCCAGGACGGAAGAGCCAACUGUGGAGUGGGAGUGGAAGUGGGAGUGGGAGUGGGAGGAGCAGCAGCUCGACGCGACUAAUAAACUCAACUUAGCUGGCAUAAAAAAUAUCCAUGCAAAUUAAUUAAAUAUUUACAGUUUACUGACAUAAGCCGAGGACACAAGCGAGUGGCGAUGGAGAUGGAUGGAGGUGGAUGGGAAGGAGGAGAAGAAAAGCGCCGGGAGGAAAAGCUGGAAAACGAGAAGGAAGCUGGAGUAGUGAACUUUCCGCUGAAUUGCAAAAAUAUGCAAAGUUCUGAAACGAUGAAGUACUUGGCCGGGAUUCAUGCCAUUCAACGCCUGAUGACUCUGACACUUGAUGAGCCGAAAGUAAAAGAUGUUUUUUAAUAUUUUAGCAAGCAGCACACACAAGUACUUUUUUGGUUUAGUUAAAAGUUGAACGUAAAGACCGAGAAACGCCACUCAAAGUGCCAAAUUUCACGCCACUUGAAGGAUCUGCAGCAUCAGUAUAUAUAUAUAUAUAUAUAUAUAUAUAUAUCUAUAUAUAUAUGUGUGUGUGUAUGUGUAUGUGUAUAAUUUCAGGCUUUCCAUUUCGAAUUCCAUUCCACAAAUUCCACAAAAAGAAUGAAUGAAUGAACUGAAACCCCUUGUCUGCAUUUUUGGCAGAAAGCAGACAGAACCCCCUUUGACAUAUUUGUGAUCUAUCAAAAAGCAAUUCACUCAACCAGACCAUCAGCAUUCAUUUGGAUUCCAUCCUACCGUCCAUCCAUCCAUCCAUCCAUCAAUCAAUCAAUCAAUCAAUCAUUAUGCUCAUCAAAAUUAGCAACAUCAAGCGGUAAACGGAACAAAUGAAAUGCCUCGCCGGCAACUCUCUGCCAGAAAGCAGAAAAUGUUUUGCAUUAAAAUUAAUUACAGCAAGAUCUCAGUCUCUAUUGUCCAAAAAAUCAUCAACACGAUGAUGAAUACAAAUUACACAUGCCGGGAAAAAUGGCCAGAAAAUAUGGAAAACAAAAUGGAACAGAAAGGGUUCUCAGCAGCACCCCAGCAGCACACACACCAUACACCAUACACCAUGCCCUCGGCGACAAUAACAACUAAAAAUCCAUCAACACACGCCCAAUUGCUACAAAAAAUCACUGGGGCCAUGGGCCGAUGGGCCGAUCAGGGGGCUUAUUUUUUAUUUAUUUUUAUACAAACACCUUUCGGUGUUCCCCAGCGAGGAGGAAUUGGAAAUCGAAACCGAAUUUUGAAUUUUCUUUCUUUUUCGUAAGGGGAAAUAAUAGGAAUAAUAUAAGAAAUAGUAUUACUCUUAGUUCUAUUAGUAGAAGUAUUAUAAUUUAGUAUUUUUGGUAUACGAUACCAGGUACUUCUUCAAAAAUUAAUUUAAUCUCUAUAAUUAACCUUAAAGAUCAGGUUCUCAACUCGAAUACUAAACUUAUCACUAUUAUUAUACGAUACCUGGUACUUUUCUCAUUUUCUACCUCUUUGGUUUUUGUUUCCUGGUAUUAUUCUUAAAAAUCAACUAUAUUGAACAUAUAUUCUUGGUUCCUAUUUCAAAUAUUUCUCAUUUAAGUCCAAGACUAUAAGAUACCUGCUACUUUUCUGUCUUUUAUCUCAAAUAUAACCAAAGUUAUGACCUAGACCAGGGAUGCCCAGUCCCAUUGCUCUCGUUCCUCCUUUGUUGUUGGAUUGCUCUGUCAUAUGGGUAGAGCAAAAUCAUAUACGUGUGCUGCUCCCAGUAUAGGCAAGGCAAAUUACAAUAACAAUUUUUCGUAGUUUAAUAACACUUAAACAGUUUCAACACUUUUCUGGCAUUUUGUUGUUGGAUUGCCGAAAACUUUUCACUGCAAAAAAGCACUUCUUGUUGUGGUUUUGGACAGAAUGGUUGACUGUGGAACGAUGCAUUUUUUCUUUGUCGAAAAUUUUCUUUGCGAGCAGCAAUGUAUUAUAUGUAAUAUAAUAAUAAGCGGAAA
This is a long non-coding RNA of Drosophila ananassae, 2234 nucleotides long. RefSeq lists it as uncharacterized. The transcript is spliced from 3 exons. The record is from RefSeq and is a predicted model, not a curated record. NCBI's taxonomy places the organism in Eukaryota, Metazoa, Arthropoda, Insecta, Diptera, Drosophilidae.